RNAcentral lists this non-coding RNA (2023 nucleotides) under Cryptosporidium parvum. Lineage: Eukaryota; Apicomplexa; Conoidasida; Eucoccidiorida; Cryptosporidiidae. The record is from RNAcentral.
AAAAGUUAUUAGUGAUGAGAGAAUAUUUUUUAUUUGGUUAAUUUUCAGCGUUAUUGGGUUAUAAUAGGUGAAUGUUGAGAUAUAAAGAAUGAUUUGAGUAGAAUGGAGAAUAGGUCUAUGGAUUUUGAUUAGACUGAAUUAAGCUUUUUAGAUUCAUUUUUUUAUAAGGCAAAGAAUAAAAUAAAAAUGUAGUAUUUGGCGGGAGACUGAUUGAGUAGGUAUUUAAAGUAGAAAUAAUGGUUAGAAAACUACAAUUACAAAGAAUAAGAAUAGUGAAAAUAUCCAAAUGCAAAUUUUCAAGCAAACAAACGAGGUAAUACACGUUAAAUAUUUAUAUGUAGUGGAUUUCUCGUAGUAAGUUUGAUACUUUUUAUUGGGUAAAAUGGCAAAAUGGCGUGAUUACUUAUAUCGUAGGGGAUCAGAUAAGUAAAAAGCGCGGAUUAUAAUUUCAUCUUGAGAAAUCUAAAAGCAUACCACUAGAUUUAAGGAUUAGUAAUAUCUUCUGUAGUUAUUUUAGGUUUAAUUUCGGUACCAAGGAUCUGAGAAAGCUGUUCUGCUGUUUUCUUAGUGAAGUUAGCAUUAGGUAUUUGGCUAAGCCAUGGGAGUUUUGUGAGAUCAAAUCUAGGUGGGAUCUCAAUGGAAAUUCCAGAAAUAUAUUCAGGGGGUAUUAUAGCGUGGAUAUUAGGAAAUUUCUGAUCUAGCUCAUUCAUUGGGUAAAAUCUGAAGGGGUAAAAGUUUUCGGUUAAGUUAGGACAUUUGCCUCCAUAUGACUCUUCAAGUUGUUCAAGAGGAACCAAACUAGUAAUUUCAUCAGAAUAGGAUUCAUCAAUAAAUCUAAUCUUUCUAACUGAUGAUCCUGGAAUUGCAGCAACAAGAGCGUUACUAACAACAUUUAUAAACUUUGGACAGUUCACAAUGAACAUUCUAUAAAGUCUCAUUCUAUAACGUGUAUUAACAAGUGAAAGAACAGACUUUAGGACUUGAAUAGGGAGAUCAGUUAUCCCUUUUCCAGCCAAGUCAAUGAUUACAUUCCAGUUUUCAACUCUUCCUGCAACCUGAAGGUAUUUAAGAAAGAAUUCUAGACAAAAACACAAUAGCUUUUGGAUUCGUUCGAUUUCACCAACAAAAGUAUCAAGCUUUGCAAGCUUCACAAUAAGUAUUGGCCUACACUUAAUAUCCUUACCGUGCCAAUAAAUAGCUCCAACUUUAAGAUCAUUCAUCACAUCUUUCUCACUUAUUGGUAGCUCCUUGAUUCUAAAUUCAUGGUUACUUAACAUCAUCUCCAAAGCCGUUUGGACAUGAAAACGGGAAGAGGCCAAAAAUCUCAAUGCCUGAAUCCAAAUAGAGUGAGGAAACUUGUAGCCGUGGUUCUUAGCAUAUUUUCUUAACUUUGCUAGAUAAAGUUGUUCGUUUUCUGAAAGAAUCUGGUUUAAAUAAAUAUAUCUUAUUUCAUCUUCUAUUAUAUCACUUUCUGAUGGCUCAAUUAACAAGCAACUUAAAGUGGUCGAAAAUGGGUUUAAAGCGGAAUAUAUUUCUACUCCUCCAAUAUUUCUCUGAAUUGGUUUAGCAUUUCCAGAAUUAGUCAUGGAAGUGCUCUUUGUUAUUUCAAGAUUCCCAACAGUUUCUUGAAGCUGAGGCAAACUAUUCAUCUUUCUGUCAAGAAAUGCCCUAGAAGAAACUGGAUCAAGCUCCUCAACAAGCUCCAUAUCAGACUCCUCCAAUGCAGAUGUAAAAGAUACACUCUCUGACUCUGAGUGAGACUUUUCUAAAAUCGAGGUAUCCUUAAAGGCGUCUAUAAUCUCAGAAAUACGCUCCUCCUCUUUGCUUAAACAAGGUCCUAACACUUCACCAGAAUCUUGGUCUGCCAUUUUGCUUAUUUUAACCACUUCUAUUAAUUUUGUCAGGCAAAAUUCUGUAUUGCUUUUUCUUUCCGUGUGAAAACGCUCACAAGAUUGUUUGGCGCCUUUUGUUUUGACAUAAAGUGAGCUUUCUAUAAAAUAGGUUGCAAAAAAAAAAAUCCGUC